RNAcentral lists this long non-coding RNA (5437 nucleotides) under Sus scrofa (pig). RNAcentral describes it as "lncRNA (ENSSSCG00000061327.1)". Lineage: Eukaryota; Metazoa; Chordata; Mammalia; Artiodactyla; Suidae. The record is from RNAcentral.
AAAAAAAAAAAAAAAAAAGCCAAAAAAAAAAAAAAAAAAAAAGAGGGGUAACCUGCACUGGGUAAUAAAUACACCUCUCUGCUCACCUUGGAGAUUCUGAGGGAGCUUUUAAAACUCACACCAAUUAUGUAUAAAAAAGCUUGGGAGUAAAUAUGUCUUCACAAUAAAGGAUGCUUUUAUUCUUUGCACGAUUCAAAAAUUAUUCUCAGGCAUUGUCUAGAUACAGAAAAAAUUAAGCAUAAGUUUCCCCUGGAUGAUAAAACUGGUUACAGUCAACACAGAGAAUGAUAAAUUGAGUCCAUAGGAAAAACUUAUGGCAGAGGUUAAAAGUUAUUUGUGGGUAAUAAUCAUUUCAUGGGUUUUUUUUUUUUUUUUUGGUCUUUUUGCCUUUUCUAGGGCCACUCCUGUGGCAUAUGGAGGUUCCCAGGCUAGGGGUCCAAUCGGAGCUGUAGCCACUGGCCACAGCCGCAGCCACAGCAGAUCUGAGCCGCGUCUGCGACCUACACCACAGCUCAUGGCAACGCCGGAUCCUUAACCCACUGAGCAAGGGCAGGGAUUGAACCUGCAACCUAGUUGGAUUCGUUAACCCCUGAGCCAGGAUGAGAACUCCAGUCAUUUCAUGUUUUAUCCAUGGCGUCAAGAGUAAUCUCUUCAAAGUGAAAAAAAUAAACUGAUCCAUACUUAUGACAGAUGAUAAAAUGUAGCACAAAGGAGGGAAAAUGCAAAUGUCAGUGGAAAGAAGAGAGAUGUGGGUUUGCAUUUCUUUCUGCCACCUAAAUCUCUGCGGCCUUGACUUCACCUAUGUCAGGAUCGUAUGAACUAUUUGUGUAGUGCUAUAUGCAUGUAGUAAGUGCCCAAUAAAUGUUAGCAGUUGUCGUUAGAAUUCCUUUUCAUGUUUGACAACCAUGCUGUUAAAUUGUGUGAUGAACUAAGACCCAACGAGUUCCUACAUGAUCUUGUUUAAGAAGAAUUGAAUGAGAAGUCCAUCUGCAGGUACCACAUUGGGUGCAGGGGGAACACAAGGAGGAAUGAACAAAGGAUUUACAGGGUAUGGGAGGAGGUGGAUGUGCUGAGGAUUCAAACUCUAUCAAAACAAAAUGGCACUAGUGCCAUAUAAAUUCCUAGUACGUGCUGCGGAAAUAAAGAGAUGUCUAUGAUUUAGAUGAACUGUCUUAAAAGGUGGUUAGGAUUUUGAUUGUUGGGGGGUAGAAGUGGAGUGAAGGAGGGAAAGAUUUCCAGAUGGGGAGCUGCACGAGCAGAGGCCUAAAGGGAUGAAAAUGCAUGGUGAUUGCAGAGAAAAGGAUAUUGGCCAGUGGCUCUGGAGCCCAGGAGCCCAGGACAAAUAGGUGAAUCAGAGGAAAAUACGGCUGUCAUAGCUUGCAAGCAGGUCUCAGAGCCUCAGAUAUUAUACUAAGAGGAUAUAUUUAAUAUACUGUAUAUUUCCAAGCGUUCUUUCUCAAGGUGCAUGGCUGAUGGCAUUCAUGUACCCAGUGUAUUUUCAUGCAACAAAACAUGUACUGAAUCCUUACUCAUGCCAGGCACUGUUCUAAGUACAAGGGAAAACUAGACAUAGUCCUGCCAUCAUGGAGAGUGUCUUUCUAAAGAAAUAUAGGUGUGGGUCAUUUAGUGCAGGCUAUUCUUUUCCUCUUUCACUCAAGAGGACAUAUUAGAAUGCAAAUCCAUGAUAAUCUGGUUAUGAUGGGGAGAGCCUAAUGCAUAAAAUUGACAAUUAUGCACAGCCUGCUGCUUUAAAUAUACUUGUCAGCAGAUUACUAGUAUACUCAAAAUCCAUGCCAGCUCUUCUGAGGGUCUGCACCCCAGCAUUGACAACUGCCACUCAGGUUUUGGAGGGGGGAAGUGAUGUAAUCUGAGCAGGAACCAGAGGAUGCUGAUAUUAAGGCUAGUCUUCUGAGCAUCGUCAUCCCGUGAGUUCAUGGGCAGCCCUUCCCUGCGCAUCCCCUGAGACGUCCUCUUCUUUAUUUGUUGGCACCACCUCUGCACCGUAACAGCCAAAGGCACAGGUCUCAUCAGGGCACAUCUACCACAAGCCUUUUCCUCUCGUUAAACCUCCCCUCCGUUUGUUUUAUUCACCAUUCUCAUUUCUGUAGUUAUAUUUGUCUGGACCAGCACUGUCAGGUAGUCACCAGCCAUACGUGACUGCCGAAUGUUCAGAUUAUGGCUUGUGCUACUGAGGAAGGCAAAUUUAAUUUUAAUUAACUUCCAUUUAGAUGUCUUAGGUGGCUAGCAGUGAAUAUUAGACAGCAUGGAUCUAGACGUUCGAAAAAUGUUCAACUCCAUAGUCUAUUUCUUUGACAAUCAUAUGUCUGGCAAAUUAUUACAUUCAACGUUUAUAGUUUUAAAGUACCUGGAAUUAUUUUUCCAUAGCCAAUCUAUGGGUUUUUUUUUUUUUAAUUUAAAAUUCUCACCUGGAUCUGGGAGCGGGAAAGUCGAAUUGCUCUUCACUUUUUGUCUACACAUGGCUUUCCAGCCCUGGCAGCAGGCAGAAAAGAGAUGCCACCCCAGGGGUACAGCCCUGCUGUGGCUUUUUAUUUUAAUCUACCUCUUGCCAUUAUCUAUCCUAGGAAAAGAACAAUUUUCUUCUUCCUCUCUUUUCUAAACAGGCUAUCUCAGGGUAAAAAUUGCAAAAGAGAAGAGGUGGCUCUGUUUGGACAAAAAUGUACCCUGGAAAGAGACAUGAUUCCCCUUAUGAGGCUCCCACUUGUUAAGGGAUAUGGGGCAAAGGAGAGGGAGGGGUUAUCUGAUAGGUAACUCCAUGAACUGAAUGGUGCCAUUCAUUCCUAAAGGAUGCACGAGAGCAGGAAUCCAUCAGCAGGGCUAGGGAUCUAGUGCCAUCUUGGACAUGUCGAGAUCUUUGUGCUAAGACGUGCAGUCGGAUGUGGGGUAUAUGUUUGCACCUCUGAGGAAUGGUCUGUUCUGGAGAUAAAUGUUUGGGGGUCAUUGGCACAUGUUAGUGAAAGCUACAGUAAUGAUAAGAUGGCCCAGACACAGUUUGUAAGGUUAGAAAAGGAAAGGAUGAAAGACAGCACAUAGCCAUAGUAUUGGUAUUUACAUUCAAUAAAGAGUAGGGACUUUGAAUCAGGUAGGAGGAAAAAGCAAGAGAAGACAGUCCCCAAAGAUAAAAGGAGAGACAAUUCCAGGAAAAAGAUUUUCCAGUUAAGGAAGAACUGGAAAGUAGCCAUUAGAUGAAGCCCCAUGACAUAGAAAGUAGAGACUCCAGAGAGAACAGGUGACGUGGCUUUGAAGAAUGGGUAGGAGGUGAGAAAACGAGGGCAGCAAGCAUGGGCCACUGCUUGGAGAAGGUCUGUCUGUGAAGGGGAGGGAGCUGGAAUGGCUGUGGCUGGCGGGAGCUGAGAUGGGUGGAGAGGGUUUUGGAUUUGGUUUUGUGUAGUUCUGAAGGUGAGUUAGAGUUGGGUCUUGUUGGGGGUGGGGGAGUGGUCCAUAGAGAGGGGUUGAAGAUGCAGGAAAGGAAGUGAGCAUAUCAUCCAGGGAUGGUUUCCUGAGAAGAGGGGGCAUUUGGUCCAAGAGCAGAUGGAGGGAGGGAUGCCUUUCAGUUUAAGAUGGAGAGGACCAAUGUGGCCACAGGUAAGUUAAGAGGCUCGGUAGAUAGUAAGAAAGUCCUGUCUUAGGGAUGGCCUUGCCAAAACUUGUUUUAUGGCUAAGACUCUCUGUAUUCCUGAAGUGAUCUUUCUAUUUGACCUAAUAGAAAUACACUCAUAGAGUCAGCUGUGUUUCUGAAGCUGGUCCAGGGCUUUAGGAAAGAGAUAGGUCUGCUGUCAUCUGUAGAAGGAUUUCUCAGCAGCAAGUAGUUCUGAGGCUCUAAAAUCAAAAGAUGCUCUAAGUACCCCUUGAGUAAGUUAAAAGCAGGAAACGAGACUGAUAAUCACUUUGGCUUUCUUUCUUUGCAGUUUGUAUUGCCAAAAACAAAAACAAAACCCAAACCCUCUCAAAACACAUCCUUGAGUUUCUAAGGUGUAGACCCCUCAGCUGUGAGUAAGACUUUGGAUUGGCUUGGCGCUGCAUCCAGAGGUCCAGCGUUAGGAGCACCUGCUUGUGUAAGACAGGGUCUGUGGUGCCUGCCUGCCUGCCCACCCGCCUCGGUGCACAGCUGAAGCCUUCAUUGUCUUUGCAGGUGCCAGAAAACACAGUUGCUUCCAGCGGAUGGGGUGGGUUAAGAUCUGGGUGGCAUUAGCUUCUGAGAAAAUCUUGUUAUGCAAGAUGAAAAUAUGACUAAACAUUAAAACACUUAAUGAUUUCUUAAAAUAACCUACCCCUUUCAUGACAUCAAAAACAGGAUGUAUAAAACCCAUAUCUAGUUUUCAACAUAAACAUUUCAUUAUGUGAAUAUUUCUCCAAUGUGAAACAGAGCAGCUGUUUCUCCAGAUGCCACAUCAGGGCUCUGGAGGGAAGAGUUGCUCAAUCCAAUACCAGAGUUAGACUCGAUAUUGAGAGAAAUACUAUAAGAUGUAUCUGGUCUAAUCAGUAAGCCUCAGUGAACCAAAAUUUAAACACACAGCAUGGAAUUAAUGCGAGAAUUUGGAUUACAUUCUAAACAAGCGAAAUGUAAUUGCUAUGCUUUUGAGCUUACCACAUUCUAAUUCUUAUUAUUUAAAACCUAUUAAGAAUCCAUCACAAGAAACUCUCUUUGUUUUUCCUACAAUCAGUUGUCAUUGUGGCAGCCAAUUGUUUUGAGAGAGAAAGUACAACAUUAUUAUUUAUGAGAAAGAGCUGACACACACAAUCCAUAUAUUUAGCUGACUCUAAUAUGUCUGGGCCAGCAUAUUAAAUCAUAUGCAUAACUACUUGAAAGAUAGAUCCAGAAGGUUACAGGUAAUUUUUAUGCAGGAACCAUCAACCCUAUACUGAAAUGAAAAACUGCUCAUAAAGUCGUCUGUAACCUAUUGCCAUUCUGCAAGUAGAGUGGUGAAAUGAAGAGCAAGAGAAAUUUAUGGAAGGAUUCCAUUGCCCUAGAAUGAGUUCCCUGAUAAUUAUGUAAAAAAAGUGGAAUUAAAAAAAAAAAUCUGCAAAAAUGGCAAAUUUUCUGGAAAAAACUUCCUAGGAAGAAAACUAUUUGAUUUUUUUUUUGACAAAUAAAAGUCUAUGGAAUAUUCCUCUGUUUCUAAAUUAUACAUAAAUAAAAUGUUCACUUAUAUUGCUUAAAAAAAUCCUUAAAAUAUUCACUUAUAAAGCUUAAAAAAAUCCUUAAAAUAUUCUAACACACUUCAAAAAGUAUAUGAUUUUAGUAAAUAUUUGUGUUGUCUGUCCAUGUGGGAAAAAUACUGCCAGGUCAAAUGGCAAUAUGUUAACAAUUCUUAUCUCUGAUUGGUGUGAUUAUAGGCAUAUUUAUGAUUUUUCCUUUAUUAAUGAAUAUUAGCCCCGGGCGUGUAUUACUUCCAUGAUUACUAAAACACAACCUACC